Molecule: ribosomal RNA, 497 nt
Filed under: uncultured bacterium
Lineage: Bacteria
Description: partial 16S ribosomal RNA
Rfam family: Bacterial small subunit ribosomal RNA
Source: RNAcentral
GAUGAACGCUGGCGGCGUGCCUAAUACAUGCAAGUAGAACGCUGAAGGAAGGAGCUUGCUCUUUCCGGAUGAGUUGCGAACGGGUGAGUAACGCGUAGGUAACCUGCCUGGUAGCGGGUGAUAACUAUUGGAAACGAUAGCUAAUACCGCAUAACAGUAGAUGUUGCAUGAUAUCUACUUAAAAGGUGCAAUUGCACCACUACCAGAUGGACCUGCGUUGUAUUAGCUAGUUGGUGAGGUAACGGCUCACCAAGGCGACGAUACAUAGCCGACCUGAGAGGGUGAUCGGCCACACUGGGACUGAGACACGGCCCAGACUCCUACGGGAGGCAGCAGUAGGGAAUCUUCGGCAAUGGACGGAAGUCUGACCGAGCAACGCCGCGUGAGUGAAGAAGGUUGUCGGAUCGUAAAGCUCUGUUGUAAGAGAAGAACGAGUGUGAGAGUGGAAAGUUCACACUGUGACGGUAUCUUACCAGAAAGGGACGGCUAACUACGUG